UGGGGAAUCGUUCCGCAAUGGACGAAAGUCUGACGGAGCAACGCCGCGUGUAUGAUGAAGGUCUUCGGAUUGUAAAGUACUGUCAUUGGGGAAGAACAGUUUUCUUGAGAAUAUUGAGAAGACAUGACGGUACCCAAGGAGGAAGCCCCGGCUAACUACGUGCCAGCAGCCGCGGUAAUACGUAGGGGGCAAGCGUUGUCCGGAAUUAUUGGGCGUAAAGGGCGCGUAGGCGGGCCUUUAAGUCCGGUGUGAAAGAUCAGGGGCUCAACCCUGAGAGUGCAUCGGAAACUGGAGGCCUUGAGGACAGGAGAGGAAAGUGGAAUUCCACGUGUAGCGGUGAAAUGCGUAGAUAUGUGGAGGAACACCAGUGGCGAAGGCGACUUUCUGGACUGUAACUGACGCUGAGGCGCGAAAGCGUGGGGAGCAAACAGGAUUAGAUACCCUGGUAGUCCACGCCGUAAACGAUGAGUGCUAGGUGUAGAGGGUAUCGACCCCUUCUGUGCCGCAGUUAACACAAUAAGCACUCCGCCUGGGGAGUACGGCCGCAAGGUUGAAACUCAAAUGAAUUGACGGGGUCAAGCUGUUUCCU
Molecule: ribosomal RNA, 589 nt
Filed under: uncultured bacterium
Lineage: Bacteria
Description: partial 16S ribosomal RNA
Rfam family: Bacterial small subunit ribosomal RNA
Source: RNAcentral